CGGCUUGCGGCUCGGCUUCAUGAGGCUUCCUUGCUUCACGGGUGAGGGGACCGGCGUGCGUGACGCUACAGGUCCA
This 76-nucleotide transfer RNA is filed under the name Komagataeibacter oboediens. Its description in RNAcentral is "tRNA-Val". Lineage: Bacteria; Pseudomonadati; Pseudomonadota; Alphaproteobacteria; Acetobacterales; Acetobacteraceae. The record is from RNAcentral.